This 1006-nucleotide ribosomal RNA is filed under the name Turicibacter sanguinis. RNAcentral describes it as "partial 23S ribosomal RNA". It matches the Rfam family "Bacterial large subunit ribosomal RNA", at positions 1919 to 2925 of the family's 2925-position model. Lineage: Bacteria; Bacillati; Bacillota; Erysipelotrichia; Erysipelotrichales; Turicibacteraceae. The record is from RNAcentral.
CCCAGUAAACGGCGGCCGUAACUAUAACGGUCCUAAGGUAGCGAAAUUCCUUGUCGGGUAAGUUCCGACCCGCACGAAAGGCGUAACGAUCUGGGCGCUGUCUCAACAAGAGACUCGGUGAAAUCAUAGUACCUGUGAAGAUGCAGGUUACCCGCGACAGGACGGAAAGACCCCGUGGAGCUUUACUGUAGCUUGAUAUUGAGCACUGGUGACACAUGUACAGGAUAGGUAGGAGACGAAGAAGCCAGGACGCCAGUCUUGGUGGAGUCGCUGUUGGGAUACUACCCUUGUGUUACUGGGGUUCUAACCCGUGGCCAUGAUCUGGUCAGGGAACAGUGUCAGGUGGGCAGUUUGACUGGGGCGGUCGCCUCCCAAAGAGUAACGGAGGCGCCCAAAGGUUCCCUCAGAAUGGUUGGAAAUCAUUCGAAGAGUGUAAAGGCAGAAGGGAGCUUGACUGCGAGACCUACAAGUCGAGCAGGGACGAAAGUCGGGCUUAGUGAUCCGGCGGUACCGAAUGGAAGGGCCGUCGCUCAACGGAUAAAAGCUACCCCGGGGAUAACAGGCUGAUCUCCCCCAAGAGUUCACAUCGACGGGGAGGUUUGGCACCUCGAUGUCGGCUCAUCGCAUCCUGGGGCUGUAGUCGGUCCCAAGGGUUGGGCUGUUCGCCCAUUAAAGCGGUACGCGAGCUGGGUUCAGAACGUCGUGAGACAGUUCGGUCCCUAUCCGUCGUGGGCGUAGGAAAUUUGAGAGGAGCUGUCCUUAGUACGAGAGGACCGGGAUGGACACACCGCUGGUGUACCAGUUGUUCUGCCAGGAGCAUAGCUGGGUAGCUACGUGUGGACGGGAUAAACGCUGAAAGCAUCUAAGCGUGAAGCCCCCCUCAAGAUGAGAUUUCCCAUUCGAAAGAAGUAAGAUCCCUUGAAGACGACAAGGUAGAUAGGUCAGAAGUGGAAGUGUGGUGACACAUGGAGCGGACUGAUACUAAUCGAUCGAGGACUUAACCAAA